Molecule: RNA transcript, 5002 nt
Organism: Sciurus carolinensis (gray squirrel)
Lineage: Eukaryota; Metazoa; Chordata; Mammalia; Rodentia; Sciuridae
Gene: Slc13a5
Gene name: solute carrier family 13 member 5
Exons: 13
Source: RefSeq, a predicted model, not a curated record
GCCGUCGGAAGGCCCCGCCGUAGGGGGCGGAGUUAUCGCCGCCCCCCAUCUCUUGGAACAGCUGCACCUUCUUAAGCCCAGAGCCUCUGGCUGCCCCUCAUUCGUCUCUUCUUCCAGUCUUCCGCGCGAUGGCCUCGGCACUGAGCUAUGUCUCCAAAAUCAAGUCCUUCGUGAUCUUGUUCCUCACCCCGCUCCUGCUGCUGCCACUCAUCAUUCUGAUGCCUGCCAAGUUUGUCAGGUGCGCCUAUGUCAUCCUCCUCAUGGCCAUUUACUGGUGCACAGAUGUCAUUCCGGUGGCUGUCACCUCCCUCUUGCCUGUCUUGCUCUUUCCACUCUUGCAGAUACUGGACUCUAAGCAGGUCUGUGUCCAGUACAUGAAGGAUACCAACAUGCUGUUUCUGGGAAGCCUCAUAGUGGCUGUGGCUGUGGAACGCUGGAACCUGCAUAAGAGGAUUGCCCUGCGCACCCUGCUCUGGAUAGGGGCCAAGCCUGCACGGCUGAUGCUGGGCUUUAUGAGUGUCACUGCCUUCCUGUCCAUGUGGAUCAGCAAUACAGCCACCACGGCCAUGAUGGUGCCCAUUGUGGAGGCCAUGCUGCAGCAGAUGGAAGCCACAAGAAUAGCUACCAAGACCAGCCUGGAGGCACUGGAGCUGGUGGACAAGGGCAAGGCCAGCGAGUUGCCAGGAAACCAAGGGAUUUUUGAAGGAUCUGCCAUGGAGAAGCAGGAAGACCAGUACAGGAAAAGCAUGUGCAAGGCCAUGAACCUGUGUGUGUGCUACGCAGCCAGCAUUGGGGGCACAGCCACCCUGACCGGGACAGGACCCAAUGUGGUGCUUCUGGGCCAGAUGCAAGAAUUGUUUCCUGGCAGUAAGGAUCUCUUGAACUUUGCCUCUUGGUUUGGAUUUGCCUUCCCCAACAUGCUGAUAAUGUUGCUGCUUUCCUGGUUGUGGCUGCAGUGCAUUUAUAUGAGAUUCAGUUUUAAAAACUCCUGCAGCUGUGGAGUAGAGAAGAAUAAGGAGAAGGCUGCCUACAAGGUGCUGCGAGAGGAGUACCAGAAGCUGGGGCCCUUCUCCUUUGCGGAGACCAAUGUAAUGAUCUGCUUCCUCCUGCUCAUCAUCCUGUGGUUCUCCCGGGACCCAGGCUUCAUGCCCGGAUGGCUAUCACUUGCCUGGGUGGAGGGUGAGACAAAGUACGCCUCUGAUGCUACUGUAGCCAUCUUUGUGGCCAUCUUGCUUUUCAUUGUGCCUUCAGAGAAGCCCAAGUUCAAUUUCUGCAGCCAGACGGAGGAAGAAAGGAAAACUCCAUUUUAUCCCCCAGCCCUGCUGGAUUGGAAGGUGACCCAAGAGAAGGUGCCAUGGGGCAUCGUGCUGCUCCUGGGGGGCGGAUUUGCUCUGGCAAAAGGAUGCGAGGCCUCAGGACUCUCCGAGUGGAUGGGAAAGCAGAUGGAGCCCUUGCAAACAGUGUCCCCGGCAGCCAUCACCUUGAUCUUAUCCUUGCUUGUUGCUGUGUCCACUGAGUGUACAAGCAACGUGGCCACCACCACCCUAUUCCUGCCCAUCUUUGCCUCCAUGUCUCGUUCCAUCGGCCUCCACCCGCUGUACGUCAUGCUCCCCUGCACCCUGAGUGCGUCCUUUGCCUUCAUGUUGCCUGUGGCCACUCCGCCUAAUGCCAUCGUGUUUGCCUAUGGACACCUCAAGGUUUCUGACAUGAUGAAAACAGGACUAAUGAUGAACUUGAUUGGAAUCUUGUGUGUGUUUUUGGCAGUCAACACCUGGGGACGGGCCAUAUUUGACUUGGAUCAUUUCCCUGACUGGGCUAAUGUGACACAUAUGAAGACUUAGGAGCCACCAGACCAAGCCCACACAACCCCUUCCCUUCUAAGGACUGCAAAGCUUCUGGCAUGCCUUGCGCAGAACUUUGGGGCUUGUACCCCAAAGUGACCCAGUGAUGCCCACACCCCUCCAAGACCCAGCCAACAGCCCAUUUUUUCCUCCAGACCCGGAUUCAGAGAUGGUGAUGGGUGACUGGAGGGUAGACUCUGAAGUGAGGGGAGCCCCUCCACAGGUUCAGGGCUCAUGUUUCCAGGGCCUUGUCAUCAUCUCUGAGAUGGGUAGCCUGGAGAGGAACUGGGAUGCAAGCUUCUAUAUCAUAUGCCCUCUAGUGGCCACCAGGCAGACCCUACACUGGGUUCUGGUUCUCACCUGCUGAGUCCCAGUGGGGACACAUGGGGAUUGAUCUCCAAGAUGGGAGCUAAGAAAAUAACCUACCAGUGCCUGCACCUCUUUUGGCUGCCUCAUAUCAUCUCUGUCACUCUGAAGGGCACCACCCAACUAGGACAGAGUGGUCUUGGGUGGCCUCCCACAGCUGGAGGGAGAGUGAGAGCCAGCGCCUCCUGGGGACUUUCAGACUCCUGUCUGGCACCACCACCAAAGGAUGAGCAAUUUGGGAGGUGCCAACUUCGGGAUGAUGCCUGCUUCCCUUCCUGUAGCUCACUCCUGGCCAACCCCCCGCUUCCUUACCUUGUUCCAUUUUAACUAACCUCUUGGACCCCAGCUUUCUAAUAAGCCUCCUUCAACUCCUGGGUCCCUUUGUUGUCUGGGCCUGCAGCUGCUUAAAUCACCUUGUAGGGGCCCCAGGGUCCCCCCUUUUCUCCAAGGCGGGUCAGUUUGGCUCUUCUGGGAAAUACUUUUCCUGCCACCCCACACAGCUGGGAUCACACUCCAAGUAUGAGCAGCGUUGACUCUUUGGGGACUACAGUGGGGUCUCUAGGUCAUCACUCAACUGCAGACCCAGAGUGGACACGGCAGUUAAUUUCCAAUAGCUGCAUCAGCUCAGAGUUAGUCAUGCUGAAGUCUGAGGUCCUCUGGAAAGCCUUGCUUUGUUGACUGGUCAUUGCAGCCAUGCUUGACAGCAACAGAGCACCAUUGAAAAUGAGAAGUGCUUGGUGGUCCCUGAGAACAUGCUCCUGCCCUUGAGUGAAUCUCCCCGAAGUUAUUGGGCAAUGACUCCAGAUUGGCCAUGGGAGCCCUCAAAAGCCCAUGUGAAAGAGGGAGACAGGAGAGGCAACCACACUCUUGUUCUUCAAUUCCAUUUUCUUUUCUUCUUGUAUUGCCCUGGGAGAGGUGCAGUGGCAGAUAGAGGUCCCUGGAUGGCAUUUUCCAGAGCAGGGAAAAGUAUAAAAACCUAAGGCAACCCCAUCAAAAGACCAAAUGUGUGUCUAGUACCUUGGGAGGGAUGAUUCCAGACCACACUGUCAAGGUCUUGCCCUCGUUAAAUGCUCUGUCUCCCAUGGAAAGUUCCACUGUGCUGACUAGUCUCUGGUUUUCUGCUGCAUGGUGGGGGUUGGGCAGGUGAAUGAAUGGAUAGUUUCUUCCUGUCUCCGGUACCUGGUGAGUCCACAAGUUAUCUUAGUUGAUCUUUGCAGCAACCCUGUGAGACAUACAGUUGUUAUUUUUGUUUGUCACUGAAGAAAACCAAGGCUCAGAAAGGCCAAAGUGAUAUGUCUUAAGUCACACAUCAAGUAAGUGGCAGUUACAGUUACAGCAAAGAUCUUCCGACUACAUGUCCACAGUUCAUUCCUCUAGUCAUUAAAUGCUUUGACUUUCUAGGUCUUGUAGGGAAAGGUGAAUAACCAAGAGCAAGUCUACCUUAACCCUCUGCUUGUCCAGGAAAGAUAACCAACCAUGAGUCCAUUUUUAUUGCCUCUUCUGAGAUGGGCUCAGGACAGCACUAAAUUAGACAGAGCAGGUCCUUGCCCUAAGACAUCAAGUAUUUGACUGGGAAGAGUGUUGUAGAAAUAGCUACCUCCCUUGCUACCAACACGCAUACACCCCAAAGUCAAACUGAUGGCUUCCCUCUUAUCUACCCAUCUCACUGCUUCCCCCACCAUCACUGUUGACUGGCCUGGCUCACAAGACUAAGGACUUUAACUCUCACUGGGAUUAGAGCCAGUACUAUGGCUGACCCAGAGCAGGCUAUGAUGAAUAUGAUAUGGGGCUGGGGGUAUAGCUCAGUUGGUAGAGUGCUUGCCUUGCAUGCACUUGCAUGCAUGAUUGAUCCAUGUGGUCAUUGAUCCGUGUGAUCAAUGGGCACACAGUUGAUGGUCAGUGAAGAAAGUCCAAGGUGGUUGCUAAAAGAUGGGUGAUUGCCAUAUAAGAAAGGACUCCUCUACCAGACACCACUGACUGAGGGCUGACAAGGAAGCGGGUGGAGGGCUUAGGAGAGCAGAACCCACAGCUGAGGAGGUUGAGCAAAGGCUAUUUCUAAACAAUGUCAUUUGCAAUCAAUAGGAGUUACACAUUUAUGACCUGUGCUAUUGAGGAAUGCUUUUGACUUCAAAUAAGAGAAAACCUGUGUAUAGCAGCUGAAACAUAGGGUCAUUUAAUGUUUACUUAACAGAAGUCUGGAGGGAGAUGAUCCGGCAGCUUACUGAGGCCAAUAAGGACUUGGGCUCCAUAGUUCACUCUGUCAUCUUCAGGCAGUCACACUUUCACCCUCAGGCUGGACUCUCAGACUGUAUAUGCAUCUAUAGUCCCUCAAGGUAGGAGGAGAGAGGUGUGAGUGAGGCCUGAUGGUGCCAGAGUGCACUUUACCCUUUUAUUAGGAAAAUAAAACCUUCCUUAGAAGCUCCAUGCAGACUCCUCAUUGCACCUUAUUGACUUGAACCAGGUCAUAUACACAUUUGUUGAGCAGGGCCAGUGAGUGGGGCAUCUGCCCAGUGCAGGUGAUGUCUCUUCUCCUCUCCCAGCAUCUCUUGCACAUUCUAGAGAGGUUUUGGCUCCAAACUCCAAGCAGGACAUCAACUCACUGCCACAGUCCUUAACUGAAUAAGAAUAAGAAUAUCCUUGGUAAGUCCCUUGAUGGCAGAUUCUUAUUUGUGGGAAUAAAGGCCAAAUCCUGCAAUGCAUUCCUAUUUUAUAUAUAACUAUAAUGCACUAAUGAGUAAAUACAUAGAAGGAAGACCAAUAUAGUAGAGGAAAAAGAUUAGGGAGAGGGCAGAGGG